CCUACGGGUGGCAGCAGGGAGGAAUAUUGGUCAAUGGACGAGAGUCUGAACCAGCCAAGUAGCGUGAAGGAUGACUGCCCGAUGGGUUGUAAACUUCGGUUAUAUGGGAAUAAAAUGUACCACGUGUGGGAUUUUGUAUGUACCAUAUGAAGAAGGAGCGGCUAACUCCGUGCCAGCAGCCGCGGUAAUACGGAGGAUCCGAGCGUUAUCCGGAUUUAUUGGGGUGAAAGGGAGCGUAGGUGGCUUGUUAAGUCAGUUGUGAAAGUGUGCGGCUCAACCGGAAAAUUGCAGUUGAAACUGGCAGUCUUGAGUCCAGUAGCGGUGGGCGUCAUUCGUGGUGUAGCGGU
This 347-nucleotide ribosomal RNA is filed under the name uncultured bacterium. RNAcentral's name for it is "partial 16S ribosomal RNA". It matches the Rfam family "Bacterial small subunit ribosomal RNA", at positions 338 to 682 of the family's 1533-position model. The record is from RNAcentral.